AGCAGCCGCGGUAAUUCCAGCUCCAAUAGCGUAUAUUAAAGUUGUUGCAGUUAAAAAGCUCGUAGUUGAAUUUCGGGAUUGACACAUCGGUCGUGCCUUAAGGGGUGUGAACUGGUGUAGUCAAUUUCUCACCUUCUGGAGAACCGCGAUGUCCUUAAUUGGGUGCCGCGAGGAACCAGGACCUUUACUUUGAAAAAAUUAGAGUGUUUAAAGCAGGCAUUUUUGCUUGAAUACAUUAGCAUGGAAUAAUAAAAUAGGACGGCAUGAUUCUAUUUUGUUGGUUCUAGGGUCACCGUAAUGAUUAAUAGGGAUAGUUGGGGCAUUAGUAUUCAAUUGUCAGGUAGGUGAAAUUCGUUGGAUUUUAUGAAGACUAACUACUGCGAAAGCAUUUGCCAAGGAUUGUUUUCAUUAAU
This 413-nucleotide ribosomal RNA is filed under the name uncultured Entrophospora. RNAcentral's name for it is "SSU rRNA". It matches the Rfam family "Eukaryotic small subunit ribosomal RNA", at positions 569 to 977 of the family's 1831-position model. The record is from RNAcentral. Lineage: Eukaryota; Fungi; Glomeromycota; Glomeromycetes; Entrophosporales; Entrophosporaceae.